This 468-nucleotide ribosomal RNA is filed under the name uncultured bacterium. Its description in RNAcentral is "partial 16S ribosomal RNA". It matches the Rfam family "Bacterial small subunit ribosomal RNA", at positions 28 to 507 of the family's 1533-position model. The record is from RNAcentral.
GACGAACGCUGGCGGCGUGCUUAACACAUGCAAGUCGAACGGAAAGGCCCUGCUUUUGGGGGGUGCUCGAGUGGCGAACGGGUGAGUAACACGUGAGUAACCUGCCCUUGACGUUGGGAUAACUUCAGGAAACUGGGGCUAAUACCGGAUAGGAGCUCCUGCUGCAUGGUGGGGGUUGGAAAGUUUCGGCGGUUGGGGAUGGACUCGCGGCUUAUCAGCUUGUUGGUGGGGUAGUGGCUUACCAAGGCUUUGACGGGUAGCCGGCCUGAGAGGGUGACCGGCCACAAUGGGACUGCGAUACGGACCAGACUCCUACGGGAGGCAGCAGUGGGGAAUAUUGCACAAUGGGCGGAAGCCUGAUGCAGCAACGCCGCGUGCGGGAUGACGGCCUUCGGGUUGUAAACCGCUUUCGCCUGUGACGAAGCGUGAGUGACGGUAAUGGGUAAAGAAGCACCGGCUAACUACGUG